UUCCCUACGGGAGGCAGCAGUGAGGAAUAUUGGUCAAUGGACGAGAGUCUGAACCAGCCAAGUAGCGUGAAGGAUGACUGCCCUAUGGGUUGUAAACUUCUUUUAUAAAGGAAUAAAACGAGGCACGUGUGCCUUUUUGCAUGUACUUUAUGAAUAAGGAUCGGCUAACUCCGUGCCAGCAGCCGCGGUAAUACGGAGGAUCCGAGCGUUAUCCGGAUUUAUUGGGUUUAAAGGGUGCGUAGGCGGGCUUUUACGUCAGCGGUAAAAAUUCGGGGCUCAACCCCGUCCGGCCGU
RNAcentral lists this ribosomal RNA (294 nucleotides) under uncultured bacterium. RNAcentral describes it as "partial 16S ribosomal RNA". It matches the Rfam family "Bacterial small subunit ribosomal RNA", at positions 335 to 627 of the family's 1533-position model. The record is from RNAcentral.